Molecule: ribosomal RNA, 459 nt
Filed under: uncultured bacterium
Lineage: Bacteria
Description: partial 16S ribosomal RNA
Rfam family: Bacterial small subunit ribosomal RNA
Source: RNAcentral
CCUACGGGAGGCAGCAGUGAGGAAUAUUGGUCAAUGGGAGAGAUCCUGAACCAGCCAAGCCGCGUGAGGGAAGACGGCCCUAUGGGUUGUAAACCUCUUUUGUCGGAGAACAAAACCCGGGACGUGUCCCGGACUGCGUGUAUCCGAAGAAAAAGCAUCGGCUAACUCCGUGCCAGCAGCCGCGGUAAUACGGAGGAUGCGAGCGUUAUCCGGAUUUAUUGGGUUUAAAGGGUGCGUAGGCGGUCCGUUAAGUCAGCGGUAAAAUGUCGGGGCUCAACCCCGUCGAGCCGUUGAAACUGGCAGACUUGAGUGGGCGAGAAGUACGCGGAAUGCGCGGUGUAGCGGUGAAAUGCAUAGAUAUCGCGCAGAACUCCGAUUGCGAAGGCAGCGUACCGGAGCCAGACUGACGCUGAGGCACGAAAGCGUGGGGAUCGAACAGGAUUAGAUACCCGGGUAGUC